RNAcentral lists this ribosomal RNA (405 nucleotides) under uncultured bacterium. RNAcentral describes it as "bacterial SSU rRNA". It matches the Rfam family "Bacterial small subunit ribosomal RNA", at positions 976 to 1380 of the family's 1533-position model. The record is from RNAcentral.
UAAGCUUGACAUCCUUUUGACCGAUGCCUAAUCGCAUCUUUCCCUUCGGGGACAGAAGUGACAGGUGGUGCAUGGUUGUCGUCAGCUCGUGUCGUGAGAUGUUGGGUUAAGUCCCGCAACGAGCGCAACCCUUGCCUUUAGUUGCCAGCAUUAAGUUGGGCACUCUAGAGGGACUGCCAGGGAUAACCUGGAGGAAGGUGGGGAUGACGUCAAAUCAUCAUGCCCCUUAUGCUUAGGGCUACACACGUGCUACAAUGGGUGGUACAGAGGGCAGCCAAGUCGUGAGGCCGAGCUAAUCCCUUAAAGCCAUUCUCAGUUCGGAUUGUAGGCUGAAACUCGCCUACAUGAAGCUGGAGUUACUAGUAAUCGCAGAUCAGAAUGCUGCGGUGAAUGCGUUCCCGGGUC